This 255-nucleotide ribosomal RNA is filed under the name uncultured bacterium. Its description in RNAcentral is "partial 16S ribosomal RNA". It matches the Rfam family "Bacterial small subunit ribosomal RNA", at positions 524 to 776 of the family's 1533-position model. The record is from RNAcentral.
UACGAAGGGGGCUAGCGUUGCUCGGAAUCACUGGGCGUAAAGCGCACGUAGGCGGAUCUUUUAAGUCAGGGGUGAAAUCCUGGAGCUCAACUCCAGAACUGCCUUUGAUACUGAGGAUCUUGAGUCCGGGAGAGGUGAGUGGAACUCCGGAGUGUAGAGGUGAAAUUCGUAGAUAUUCGGAAGAACACCAGUGGCGAAGGCGGCUCACUGGCCCGGUACUGACGCUGAGGUGCGAAAGCGUGGGGAGCAAACAGG